Molecule: transfer RNA, 620 nt
Filed under: Paracidovorax avenae
Lineage: Bacteria; Pseudomonadati; Pseudomonadota; Betaproteobacteria; Burkholderiales; Comamonadaceae
Description: 16S-23S ribosomal RNA intergenic spacer
Rfam family: tRNA (bases 73-146)
Source: RNAcentral
UCUGGAAAACAGCAUUCAAUAUUGAACGCCCACACUUAUCGGUUGUUGGAAGAAGUCGGUGCUAACCGACAUGGGUCUGUAGCUCAGCUGGUUAGAGCACCGUCUUGAUAAGGCGGGGGUCGUUGGUUCGAGCCCAACUAGACCCACCAAAUCUUCCGAACAUAAGAUGCGAGGAUCAGUGGGGGAUUAGCUCAGCUGGGAGAGCACCUGCUUUGCAAGCAGGGGGUCGUCGGUUCGAUCCCGUCAUCCUCCACCAACCAAUAUGUCCUGCGGUAGGGCAAAGAAACUAACACCAAAGCGGCUUCGCAAGAGGCCUCUUUGUUGUUGGUCCGGUAUAGACCGGGUCAAUCGGCUGUUCUUUAAAAAUUCAUAGAGUCGAAUCAGCGUUGCCGGCGGAAAGCAGGAAACUGCACCGUGCCGUCGGCAACAAAAAUUUGAUUGCGUCAAAACGAAUAUUCAAUUGAGCGAAAGCUGAUUGAAAUUCAGUAAUGACGAAUUGUUCUCUAGGUAGCAAUACCGAAGAAGAAUUCACAUUACGGCAUAACGCGCGAGGUGAAAGACCUCGCAAGUCCUUGAAAGAAAGCGGAGAUGUCUCGCAAGAGAUGUCAAAGUUAUAGGGU